Molecule: ribosomal RNA, 513 nt
Filed under: uncultured bacterium
Lineage: Bacteria
Description: bacterial SSU rRNA
Rfam family: Bacterial small subunit ribosomal RNA
Source: RNAcentral
CGCUGGCGGCGUGCCUAAUACAUGCAAGUCGAACGGCUUUUCUAUGGAAGCUUGCUUCCACUGAAAAGAUAGUGGCGAACGGGUGAGUAACGACGUGGGUAACCUGCCCAUAAGAGGGGGAUAACAUCCGGAAACGGGUGCUAAUACCGCAUAGUUUUCUUGAUCGCAUGAUCGGGAAAGGAAAGACGGCCUUUGUGCUGUCGCUUAUGGAUGGACCCGCGGCGUAUUAGUUAGUUGGUGAGGUAACGGCUCACCAAGACGAUGAUACGUAGCCGACCUGAGAGGGUGAUCGGCCACAUUGGGACUGAGACACGGCCCAAACUCCUACGGGAGGCAGCAGUAGGGAAUCUUCCGCAAUGGACGAAAGUCUGACGGAGCAACGCCGCGUGAGUGAAGAAAAGGUUUUCGGAUCGUAAAACUCUGUCGUCAGAGAAGAACAAGUUGGAGAGUAACUGCUCCAGCCUUGACGGUAUCUGACCAGAAAGCCACGGCUAACUACGUGCCAGCCGCAGC